GGCAGCACCAGCCUCUGCCCAGUGUGGACCAUAGCUCAUAAGUUACAUAGGAAACAGAGACAACAAAUUAUUCCUUGGAAAAGAUAUAAGGGGUUUCUGCUUUUGCAUCUUGCUCAUUUUCUCUUGCUGCCACCAUGUAAGAAGUACCUUUUGCCUCUCUCCAUGAUUUUGAGGCCUCUCCAGUCAUGUGGAACUAUGACAUUAGAAGUGGAACCCAAAGUAGAGCCUCUUGCAACCCCCAGGAGCACCGAGAGACCAAGAAAAAUACCUACCAGGCCCAUUGUGUUCAUUGCUCUCUUGCAGAAACUGG
Molecule: long non-coding RNA, 310 nt
Organism: Gorilla gorilla gorilla (western lowland gorilla)
Lineage: Eukaryota; Metazoa; Chordata; Mammalia; Primates; Hominidae
Exons: 3
Source: RefSeq, a predicted model, not a curated record